Cervus elaphus (red deer) is the source of this 962-nucleotide long non-coding RNA. RefSeq lists it as uncharacterized. NCBI's taxonomy places the organism in Eukaryota, Metazoa, Chordata, Mammalia, Artiodactyla, Cervidae. The transcript has 3 exons. The record is from RefSeq and is a predicted model, not a curated record.
UCUCCGUAUCCCUUUCCCCACGGGGAGGCAGAAGCUGCAGGCAGAGCAGGCUCAGAGAGGUGAAGAAGAGCUUGCCCAGCCAGUCUCCGCGAGAGGGGGACCCCCAGAAGCGGCGCUGGGUGGGUGGGCUUCUCCGUCAGAGGCACUGAGAUCUGGGCACAUCACCAGUUCCUGCAGUGGGCAUACCAGCGGCUCCAGGAGAGGGCGAGAUGAACGCGAUCAAGGGCAGUGAAGGCAUAUUACAUCUCACUCUUCAGACCAGAGAACCGAAUCACUGUUAGCUGGCAUUUAUGAAUGUCAACAGCAUGGAAAAAUUGGAAAGCAUAUCCACAGUUUAGGCCAAGAAAGUUCCAACUUGGACUUGAUGUAUAAGGAGAAGAGACAAGAGCCAGUGGGAAAGUGGGAUCAGAACUGAGCCUGGGAGGAACAGCUGGUCAGAUCUUUUCAUCUUUGGCCUAAGUCACCAACUUCCCACAUUGAUAUUUGAUUGAGAGGAUGACUAAUGAGCAUUGCUGUCCAGGGUUCAGUACUCGGAUUGCAGCCAGCAACGUUGCCUAGUCUGGGACGGGGUGAUAAGAGACAUACAUGGCAACCUAGCAUGUCUGAUAUCGCACAAACUUUCUCCUUGCCAUGGUUUAAAAGUGGCAUGAGCCCAAAACUGACUUUUAAGAAAUGAAUCUAUCAGUGCUGAUUCAGAAACAAUCAUUUCUUCACACUUUCACAUUGCCAAAAUGUUGUUACUAAAAUCUACGUUGAUUUUCCUUAAGGUACAUUAUCUAAGGAAAUAAAGAAGUUUCUUUCUUCGGCUGUGAUAACUUAGAGCUGUUCAUUAUUAUUUGCUUUGUAAAGAAUUUUAUUGCUCUUUUAACAAGAACAGGGCUAAAAUCCGGAAAUAUAAGUAUUGAAUUGCAUGGAAAAUAUAAGUUGUAAUCAUUUAUUUCAGAAAUUUGAUAUUCUUUGAC